This 254-nucleotide ribosomal RNA is filed under the name uncultured bacterium. RNAcentral's name for it is "partial 16S ribosomal RNA". It matches the Rfam family "Bacterial small subunit ribosomal RNA", at positions 524 to 776 of the family's 1533-position model. The record is from RNAcentral.
UACGUAGGGGGCGAGCGUUGUCCGGAUUUAUUGGGCGUAAAGAGCUCGUAGGCGGCUUAGCAAGUCGGGUGUGAAAACUCCAGGCUCAACCUGGGGACGCCACUCGAGACUGCUAUGGCUAGAGUCCGGUAGGGGACCACGGAAUUCCUGGUGUAGCGGUGAAAUGCGCAGAUAUCAGGAGGAACACCGGUGGCGAAGGCGGUGGUCUGGGCCGGCACUGACGCUGAGGAGCGAAAGCGUGGGGAGCAAACAGG